RNAcentral lists this ribosomal RNA (407 nucleotides) under Methylobacterium sp. RNAcentral describes it as "bacterial SSU rRNA". It matches the Rfam family "Bacterial small subunit ribosomal RNA", at positions 26 to 477 of the family's 1533-position model. The record is from RNAcentral. Lineage: Bacteria; Pseudomonadati; Pseudomonadota; Alphaproteobacteria; Hyphomicrobiales; Methylobacteriaceae.
AGAGCGAACGCUGGCGGCAGGCUUAACACAUGCAAGUCGAACGCUCAUCUUCGGAUGGGAGUGGCAGACGGGUGAGUAACACGUGGGAACGUACCCUUCGGUUCGGAACAACUCUGGGAAACUGGAGCUAAUACCGGAUACGCCCUUUUGGGGAAAGGUUUACUGCCGAAGGAUCGGCCCGCGUCUGAUUAGCUAGUUGGUGGGGUAACGGCCUACCAAGGCGACGAUCAGUAGCUGGUCUGAGAGGAUGAUCAGCCACAUUGGGACUGAGACACGGCCCAAACUCCUACGGGAGGCAGCAGUGGGGAAUAUUGGACAAUGGGCGCAAGCCUGAUCCAGCCAUGCCGCGUGAGUGAUGAAGGCCUUAGGGUUGUAAAGCUCUUUUGUCCGGGACGAUAAUGACGGUA